AGCCUGAGUCCUAUCACCUCACUCUCCUCCCCGACAGCAUGAGCUUCACCACUGGCUCCACCUUCUCCACCAACUACCGGUCCCUGGGCUCCAUCCAGGAGCCCAGCUACGGCGCCCAGCUGGUCAGCAAUGUAACCAGUGUCUAUAUAGGUGCCAGGGGCUCUGGUUCCCAGAUCUCCGUGUCCCACUCCACCAGCUUCUGAGGCGGAAUGGGGUCCAGGGUCCUAGCCACAAGGAUAGCCAGGGGUCUGACAGGAAUGGGAGGCAUCCAGAACAAGGAGAUCAUGCGAAUCCUGAAUGACCACCUGGCCUCCUAUCUGGACAGAGUAAGGAGUCUGGAGACCAAGAACCAGAAGCUGGAGAGCAAAAUCCGGGAGCACCUGGAGAAGAAAGGACCCUAGGUCAGAGACUGGAGCCAUUACUUCAAGACCAUCAGCGAUCUGAGGACUCAGAUCUUCGCAAAUACUGUGGACAAUGCCUGCAUCAUUCUGCAGAUCGACAAUGCCCGUCUUGCUGCUGAUGACUUUAGAGUCAAGGAUGAGACAGAGCUGGCCAUGUGCUGGUUGGUAGAAAGUGACAUCCAUGGGCUCUGCAAGGUCACUGAUGACACCAAUGUCACUCAGCUGCAGCUGGAGACAGAGAUCGAGGCUCUCAAGGAGGAGCUGCUCACCAGGAAAAGGAAGUAAAAGGCCUACAAGCCCAGAUUGCCAGCUCUGGGUUGACUGUGGAGGUAGAUGCCCCCAAAUCUCAGAACCUUGCCAAGAUCAUGGCAGACAUCCAAGCCCAAUAUGACUAACUUGCUCGGAAGAACCAAGAGGAACUGGACAAGUACUGGUCUCAGCAGAUUGAGGAGAACACCACAGUGCUCACCACACAGUCCGCCAAGCUUGGAGCUGCUGAUAUGAGUCCAGUCCUUGGAGAGUGACCUGGACUCCAUGAGUAAUCUGAAGGCCAACUUGGAGAAAAGUCUGAGGGAGGUGGAGGCCUACUACACCUGCAGAUGGAGCAGCUCAAUGGGAUCCUGCUGCACCUGGAGUCAGAGCUGGCACAGAGGGACAGCGCCAGGCCCAGGAGUAUGAGGCCCUGCUGAACAUCAAAGUCAAGCUGGAGGCUGAGAUCACCACCUACCACCACCUGCUGGAAGAUAGUGAGGACUUCGAUCUUGGUGAUGCCCUGGGUAGUGCAACUCCAUGCAAACCAUGCAAAAGACCACCACCCGCCAGAUAGUGGAUGCCAAAGUGGUGUCUGAGACCAAUGACACCAAAGCGUUAAUGUCUAAGACAUUAAGCCAGCAGAAGCAGGGGAUCUUUUGGGGAGCAGGAGGCCAAUAA
Non-coding RNA from Saimiri boliviensis boliviensis (Bolivian squirrel monkey), 1331 nucleotides. Lineage: Eukaryota; Metazoa; Chordata; Mammalia; Primates; Cebidae. The record is from RefSeq and is a predicted model, not a curated record.